RNAcentral lists this long non-coding RNA (216 nucleotides) under Gallus gallus (chicken). The record is from RNAcentral. Lineage: Eukaryota; Metazoa; Chordata; Aves; Galliformes; Phasianidae.
CUCCUCCUGCUCUCCUUCAUCCUCCUCUCCCUCCUCCUCCUCCGCAGCGCUGCUGUUGGUGCUGUCGCUGCCGGAGUCCUCCAGCCCCGAGUAAACGCUCUCCUCGCUGUCUGUCAGGUCGUCAUCGCUCUCGAGCUCCAGGGGCUGCUCCAUGGUCUCCACGGCCGCCUCCCGCGUGCGCUGCUGCCGCCGCCGCCGCUGCUGCCGCCCUCCGCG